GCCCGAUUGGUGGAAUGGUAGACACGCGGGAUUUAGGUUCCCGUGCCUUACAGCGUGAGGGUUCGAGUCCCUUGUCGGGUACCA
This 84-nucleotide transfer RNA is filed under the name Magnetococcales bacterium. Its description in RNAcentral is "tRNA-Leu". It matches the Rfam family "tRNA". From Rfam's summary of the family: Transfer RNA (tRNA) molecules are approximately 80 nucleotides in length. Their secondary structure includes four short double-helical elements and three loops (D, anti-codon, and T loops). Further hydrogen bonds mediate the characteristic L-shaped molecular structure. tRNAs have two regions of fundamental functional importance: the anti-codon, which is responsible for specific mRNA codon recognition, and the 3' end, to which the tRNAs corresponding amino acid is attached (by aminoacyl-tRNA synthetases). tRNAs cope with the degeneracy of the genetic code in two manners: having more than one tRNA (with a specific anti-codon) for a particular amino acid; and 'wobble' base-pairing, i.e. permitting non-standard base-pairing at the 3rd anti-codon position. Lineage: Bacteria; Pseudomonadati; Pseudomonadota; Magnetococcia; Magnetococcales. The record is from RNAcentral.